RNAcentral lists this transfer RNA (68 nucleotides) under Physopelta gutta (gutta bug). RNAcentral describes it as "tRNA-Val". RNAcentral also lists the same sequence under 1 other name. Lineage: Eukaryota; Metazoa; Arthropoda; Insecta; Hemiptera; Largidae. The record is from RNAcentral.
CAAGUUAUUCUUUAGUAGUAUUUGUUAUUUACAUUAACAAUUUGUUUGUGCAAUUCAAUCUAGCUUGA